This is a long non-coding RNA of Dendrobium catenatum, 3716 nucleotides long. RefSeq lists it as uncharacterized. The record is from RefSeq and is a predicted model, not a curated record. NCBI's taxonomy places the organism in Eukaryota, Viridiplantae, Streptophyta, Magnoliopsida, Asparagales, Orchidaceae. The transcript is spliced from 4 exons.
UUAGCAUUGCACGGAUAUCCAGCUCACACACAGAGAACACAAUAUUUUUUACGUUGAAAAUUCGGAAAGGGAAAAAACCACGGGGCCUAGCACAAUUGAAAAUGAUUCAACUAAAAUUUGAGGAAAGUACAAUGGUCUGACUCGUCCUUGAAGAUGACCAGAUUACAAAUAUCAACUGAGAGUUUUGUUAAAGUCCAACGUCACACCACUGUCAGGUGGUGGGCCGGCAGCACUUCGGUGUCAAGCGGUCGAUCGGUAGUGGCACUUCAGUGUCAGGGGGUACUUCAGCUUUGGAUGGCACUUCGGCGUCCCUUGGUGGUCCAACGAUGGUGCGGUAGCACUCCGGCGUCCCUUGGUGGUCCGGCGGUAGUGCGGUAGAACUACGGUGGUGGUGCGGCAGUACUUAGGCGGUGGUGCGGCAGCACUCUGGCAUCCCUUGGUGGUUCGGCGGUGGUGCGACAGAUCUACAACGGUGGUGCGACAGAUCUACAACGGUGGUGCGGCAGCACUCCGACGUCCCUUGGUAGUCCGGCAGUGGUGCGGCAGAACUACGGCAAUGGUGCGGCAAUACUCCGGUGGUGUUCGAGGAGGAGCUAAGCGGCUGUAGCUUUCUUCCUUCUCUUCCUUCUUCUCUCUUGCCUUCUUCCCCCACUAUUUUUGGACGUCGAAAUAUUGAAAUUAUACAAGUAUUUCUUGGACCUUGCAAUAUUUGAUGUCCAAAAAUAGGGGGGCAACUGAUAUGUCACCAAAAAAUAGUCUUGAUCCAGCACGAAUCUCGAGGCAAAAUCAAGUUGGAAACUUCCAAAAUUAAAAAUGGGAUCAUCUAAACUCCGAUUUAAGCAAAUUUAUAUUCGAUUUGAUCAUCUCAAAAGUACAAACCCAACGACACCAAAUUCGACACAAUCUAAGCUCAAAUGGGUCCAAAUCAAAGACAUGAAGCGCUUUUGGAAGGUUCAAACUACAAUUUGGAUUAUCAAACAGCUUCCAAACGUGGCAUGCUUAUAGUCGAAUUGAGCUGCUCGACGAGACAAAUCCAACGAGUCUAAGAUCAUCAAAUUCUGAUAUCAUUAAGCACUCAAAUGUCCGAUAAAUGCUCUAUGAUCAUAGAAAUCAAUACGGACCAUCUGAUGGAGCACUCCAAACCUACCAAUGAUCUUCUCUAUAUUUACGGGAUGUGUCACUCAUGAAAACCUAUAAAUAGACCCUCACUCUCUACAUGAAGGGAACUUUUCUUUAGAAAUUGGAGAGAGCUCUUAAGCCACUAGAGCUCCACCACAACCGUCUGGCCGUCGACCAUCGCCGGACUUUAGCCCGACAUUUGUCGGACCACCGCCCGGCUGCUGACCACCGCCGAACUUCAGCUCUACCUUCGUCGGAUCACCACCGAACGCCUCUGGACUUCCACCUAGCAGCCGAGUGACGUCGUACGCUCACCCGACUUUUCUCGGAUCUUUCCUAGUCGACCGAACUUCUGCCCGGACACUGACGGAUUUCCGCCCGAUAGUUGCCAGAUCUUGGCCUAACUCUCCAAACUAACGUAACUUGACCGCUCCUAAGUCAAGGGACGGGUCAAUAUUUGUAAUUCACUUAAACUUAGUGGAACUUUUUCACCUGGGCGAUGCCCCGUGGUUUUUCCCUCUUUGGGCUUUCCACGUAAAAAAGAUUGGGUGUUUUGCUUUCUCUCUUGCUGCUUGUGUGCUUGAUAUCUGUGCAUUACUAAGACAAGAAGUUUACUCACUCUACCGCCGCAAAUAUCUUAGCCCACAACAAGGCUCUUCUUUAGGGGAAAGACCUUGGCUUGAUAUAACAAAUAUACAUCGUAUAGAGUGCAUUUACAUGGUGAGAAUUGGAAGAAUCAGUCUUGACAUAUUCGUUUGGUUGGCAUGACCAUAAUAUAUAGCUCUUGUAUCUGCACAGCCGAGGGGACAAGAAAUUAUAGACGAUCUCUAUAAAACUACUAGAAAAGCUCAGGUGGCCAGUGGCCUUUACCGCGGGGGUAAUGAUAAGGUUGGUCUAACAACAAUGGACAAUUAUUGGAUUGUGAAAUUUGAACUGUUAACAUUUUUUUAAAAAUAUCAACAGGGAGCUACCUCUUGCUUUCAUUGAGAAGACAAAAUAGAUGCCUGACUGCAUUAUUUUCUACAGGUUUGUUAUGUACUUAUGUGAUUGUUUUUUAAGCUUCAUACUAUGUUUAAGGAUGCACCAUUAAUAAAUCAAGGAAGUUUAGUACAGAGAUUCACCAAUACUUAUGUUACACGUAAGUGUUUUCUAUCUGCUUCUAUUGAGUUAUUUUUUCGUCUAAACUUAUUGCAAUAUUUUAGUUUUUUUAGCAGAUAUGCUCGAUGCACGUGCUCGAUAUCAUUAGGUAAUUGUCAUGAAAUAUCAAAGGAAUUCGACUCAGUCGAGAUGGUAGUAAUCAAUGCGUCGUUGGGAGGGGGUAGGUGUAAAAACCAUAAGUGAUCCCCUGGGUCGACAAUUUUGGGUCUUCGAUGCAUGCCGGCAAGCUUAUUCUGAUGAGUAAUGCCCCAACUAAUGAUUCAACUUCUUAAUAUAAAUGGAAUGAGGCCACAUUUUAGAUGACGGGACAUUAGGCAAGUUAGUACAUUUGAUUUUAAAUUUAUUCUUGAACACUAUUUUUUGUUAUUGCACUUAUAUAUCUUAUAGAUCAACUACUUUAUUGAUGUUUGAAUCUUGUUCUUAAGUUUGAUGAUUCUAAAAUUUCUUAUAUGGACAUUUUAAUUGCCCUUAUAGAUGGUCAGGAAGAAUAAUCACAACGAUGAUAGUUAUGUUAACAACUUUGAUAUAUAUAUAUAUUGUAAUUGAAUUUGUCAGGUUUGAAGCACGAGUGUUAUGAUCACCAAAGAUACUUAACUUUCUAAUCAUUAUAUUUAUUAUUUUCUAAUCAGUUCACUCACCUGAGUUUUGGAGAGUUUCAAUACUUGAACAGCUUCUUCCACCUUUGCAGCAAGUGCAUCAGGCGACUCCAACAGCAAUAGCAAUUCGGAGUUAUCCAUCUCCAACAAUAUCCCAGUUAUUUUAGCAGACAGAUCUGCCUGCAUUAGCCGCAACAUAAUUUCAAUUAAUGAUCAAAAGAGCUAAGAAGUGUUGUAAUAGCUUGCAAAAUCAAAAGGCUCUAUUAACUUUAAAAAUAUAUUUAUUGUAUUUAACUUUAACAAGUUGGGUUCUGCUCGUAUGGCUGCUUCGAAUGACAAAGACUUGCAGGGCACAAGUCGGCCUGCUCAUUAUCAAGCUCUCUAUGAUGAAAACAAUUUUUCUGCGAAUGGGGUGCAGAUAUUAACCAACAAUUUAUGCUACACCUAAGAUUUGCUCGAUGCACGCGCUCAAUAUCAGUAGUUCCUCCAGCAUACUAUGCACACCUUGCAGCUUUCCGUGCUCGGUGUUACAUGGAAGGAAAGAGUGAAUCUGGAUCAACUCAACAUAGGGGAGUAACACGACAGUGAACUGCGGCUAUUUCAACGCUUCCAGCAAUCAAAGAAAACGUCAAGGAUGUGAUGUUUUGUUGUUAAAAGAUAAGCCAUGGAUGAUUUAAAGAACUAUUACCUUUUAGGUUUUUUGUUGUGCUAACAGGGAUAUAGUUUGCGCUAGCAUACGUAGAAAUACUUGGAUGUCGCAGAUAUCAUGUCUUUCAUUGUUUUUGUAGCACAUUAUUUUGAGUUUGCGAUACAUAAAAUUUGGUUUGAAUCUUUCUGUUCUUA